CGAUCCUCAGCGCCUAGGCAACCGGCGUCCAAUCAAAAGUGCGCACUAAGCGUUCCCACUUCCGGGGUUUGUUUGUUUGCGGUAGUAAAUACGACUCACUCGCAAGCAGCACGGUUCUAUUGGAUUGGCGGCAACACGGUAAGCAAAUGUAGCAUAAAUACAUUACAGAAGGGAAAGUUUGCGUACCGGCUGAAAACUGCUGUUUUUGUCCUUCCGGUUGUUCUUCCCCAGGUUGUUACUUCAAUCAGGACCAGCAGCAAAAGGAAGCAAGCUAAAGCUAAAGCAGCUAAAUGGAAAGUCUGUAAGUUGAAUUUUAACUUCCUGAUCUUAAAGAAAACAGACAGUACACAAACUCAAAGUGAAACAGUCGUAACCAAACAGAUGAACUCCAUUACACCCCAAAUAACUCAUAUAGCUUAUUAUGUGGCUGUGUUAAUACUUGAUUCUGAUUGGUCAAAAGUCCAUUACAGUUGUGAUAAAUAUUCAACAGCAAAACCAAACUAAAUUGACAACCUGAUCACACAUGUCAUGGCAAAUUAAUCUGGAGAAAGAAGUCCUGCACGUCUCUCUCAUGCCUGUUGACAAUGUUGUAAAAAUGGUAGCUUCCUGCUCCAGCUGGUCUUGACAGACAGUUACCUGGCACAGAUGGAGAGCAGAGCAGCCUGGGGAGCUUCUGAGGUAGAGGGUGAACUGGAGCAAGAUCCUGUCCCUCCAUCUGGUUAACAUCAGCAGAGCUGCUGAGCACAUCUUUGAUGAAGUUGAUGAUUGCUAUUGAAUCCCUUAAAACGUAAGCGGUAGUGAAAGAGCAACAUCGUUGAAAGUUGGGACAUUUAGCUCCUUUAUGAGGUGACACUUCAGAGUGAGGGGAGUGGAACGUGGGCUGAAAUCUCUCCAAACAUCCCUGCAGAAGUCCUGCUCAGCUUGUCAGAAAUAAUGUUCAGGUUAAUUUAAUUCAUAUGACGUAAACAGGCUGAUUUGUUGACACGACAGUGAAUUGAAAUGUUCAGGCUUAUAUUUACGUGUCUUGAGAAUCUUUUGUCAUGGAUGCAUCGCAGCUUGUAGACCCCAUAUUUUUUUAAUCUGUAUGAAUGAAACAGUUUUAAAUCAAUGAAAUAAUCUUUGAAUUAAUAUUUCACAUCAAAUUACAUCUUUAGUUGACAGCCAGGUAAUAGGUGGGAUGAUGUAAAGUGAGCAAAACCACCCAUCUUAUAUUAGGGCCUUGCUCAUCCUCACUAUUAAUUAUUGAUUGCCCUCUAAAGAGUCUUCAUUUCUCUUCUGAGUUAUUUCUCUGAAACGAUACAUUUGAUUUUUUUAUGUUGUUUUUAUUUGUGAACAAAAUGAAGGAAAACUGGAUCUUUAAUGUUCAAAAAACAAAUUCAUGCAGGUUUUUGUAGCAACUACAUCAUGAGAUUCCUGCAGUGAGUUUCCUUCCACAGGUAGCGACACAGGCUGCCUUUAAGAAUUGAGUGACAUUAACUAACCAGCCAGUCAGUCAGCAAUUUGCCAUUUUGCAACACACCAAUACAACAAUUUAUGCAAGUCUCUGAGUUCAUUCUUCAUCAAGACACCUCUAAAUAUUUCAGCAUCAGCCUGCAGUGCAGCAGACUAAUUUUGGAAUGAACUUCUCUUUGACUCAAAGUGCUCUUUUUGCCCAAUUGAAGCAAAAGUCAUGCAGAAAUUUGGCUGAAUCAAAAACAGAGUAAAGAAACGGCUCCCUCAUGCACUUGAAACAAUCUGCCUUUGUAUGCUGUUUAUUAUGUUUGGCUCGUAUCUCUCAGCAGAGUAAAGUUGGAGCCAAAAGUUAGACCGACAUGAUGAGCCAAUCAGCAGAGAGUAAAUUAAAUUAAUGCAUCUAAUUAAAGUCAAUGAUGUUACAAAAUAAGGGUCUUAAGGAAAACGCAGGUCUAUGCCUUUGCAGCUUUGAGAUUCAGAUCUUCCCCCCUUUCAUUAGUAAAUUAAGUCCCACACCAGCAACCCCCUCACCUCUUGAAAUAUGAACUGAGUGCUAGAUUAAAUAUGCAUAUUUAAUAAGAGGGGAACAUGAACACAUCCACUGCUUAAACGGGAGCAUGAGGGAUGAGGAAAUCAGAGCGAGAGAGAGAGAGUUUCAUGGCCUGCAGAGUGUGAAAGAAAAAACAGAAUUCAUCUUUAUUUCAACACGGCUCUGUGGGACUAACCCUAGCAGGACUUCCCCCCACUCUUUCUGAGCUCUGAUUGCACACACGCUGACUUUCUGGAGGUGCGGGCUACGUGUUUCUAUAGCAACCACAGAAAGCAGACAGUAUGGAGUAAACUCGCUUGCCAUGUGCCUGAACAUUUUUGCCUCUUGAACCAUCAAACUGAAUUUUGUAUCAGGCCGACUGUGUUUCUUUGUCAGGAUGGAGUCGGACCAGCACAGAACUAGGAGAAAGAAGACUUUUACAUCAAACAAUUUCCAUUACAAUGUAGAAAUAUAAUCCAGACUAUGAAAAGGAAUAAAUUGAUUUUUAAGGAAUUAUAUUGUCAGAAAUGUUGUGUGGUAAUAUUAGUUCAGUUUUAAACGCUUCAAAAUAGAAAAUACAAAUUUUUUUUUACUAUAUUUAUUAUCAUAACAUAAUUUAAGUUACAGUUUUAGCUUUGUGGGAUGAUAUAGACCAACCAGCAUGUUGAAGCACUUUGCAAACAACACAGUCCUGCCCACUUUGGUGACAAAUGCUGAAGAUCCUAUGUAUACUGAUGCAAUGUAAUGCAUGUUUGGAUGAACAUCUGUAAUUUUAAAAAGCCAUUUGUCCGACAGGAGUGGAUAAUACUUACUGGCCUGCCUGAUACUUGGCUUUCUUGGACUGUAACAAAGCUUGCUGAUCAAUAAGCCAUAAUGAGACUUCAGUGAAAAAUGUUGUGUCACAUGUACCAGACAAAAGGAAACAUGUUCAAAGGAAUCACAAGUUGUAGUUCCGUGUUGUCUUUAAACAACAAAGAAAAUGUCCUGAACAGCACAGCUUUAGAGCAGCUUUUGUGUUCCUGUUGUUGUGAGAAACCGUGAUUCUCCUGCCCACAAAAAGGAUGGCUUUCUCUUGGCAAGUUCUGCUCUGUGUCUCAAUGCCAGUCUGGUCUAAUCUUGGCUGUGAAAAGAGCAUCUCUUGGACUGUAAUUCUGUUUGGGCUCAGCUCAGCGCCCCUUACUGGACAUUUACACUGGCUGCAGCAUCUUAAGUUUGAAAACUUGAGAAGUCUCAUGGGUGUCCAUAUAUCAAAAUUAAAUUGAUACCUGCCAGCCAAUCAGAGUUGAAUAUUCACUAAAGCCAUGAUUUAAGUCAAUGCUUUAAAUGAUUUGAGAUAAUUGAAUCCAGCAUUGUAUUGUAUUUAUGAAAAGGCAUCAACAAUACCAUCAUGUCUGAGCACUAUAAGAGGUUAAAAAAUCUAUUAAUAGACUCUGAGGAUUAAAUGAACAUAGAAUUGUAAAAGAAAUCAAAACAAACUUCAAAAGGGUUGAAUUAAAGCUCCUGUAAGGAACUUCCAGUCUGUGUUAACAACCUACCAAACACAACAUUAACAGGAACUGCACAUAUUUUCUUUAUUCCCUCAGAAGCACGUCCACUUGUUUUAUUUCUCAAGGUUUUGGGAUAUACGUCUGUUAUUUUUGCCUCCACCAGCAUUUAAUGUGUGUUGCUCUAAGCACAGAGGAAUUACAUUUACAUAUUCAGCCCCAACAUAUCUUUGUAGAAACGGUGUCUCAGCUAUACUGCAUAAUCCAAAGGCUUUAAUGUGAGCAGUCAUUACGAACGCCAGUGAUUAAACCACUCUCUCUUUUUUUAACCAGAAAUGAAAGUCUUUUAGCUCACAGUAAAGGCUAUGGAUUAUGACAAAUGGAAGACUCAAAGACAUUUGUAUGUGAGUCUAAAGCACAUCACAGAGUUUAAGGCACCAGAAAGGAAAAACUUAAAGCCGCACAAAGAUACUGACCGGUGGCAGAUGAGAAGAGAUGGUCUUGAGGUCAGACUUUGGUUCAUACAGUAAAAGAUCUGUGACUGAAGCAGGUACAGAGUGACAUGUGGUAGACAACAAGAGAGGAUUAAGGGACUUUUAAAACCUUUUCAGCUUGUCUAAAUUGACCAAAGACCAAAAAAGACGGACACAAAAUUCAAAGACGCUGUCAAUACAAAACUUAACAUCUUGUUUUCAAAAACACAGCCAACAGCCGACUCCGUUUUAUUCAUAAAGCAAAACAUGAAACAUAAAAUUUACAUUUUUAAUCCAUAACUAAAGCCUCAUUUCAAACCUGCAGAUUAAAUGGUAAUAAAUAUUGACUGUCCCAGUUACAUAAACAGCUAAAGAGCUCAGCUACACUGUCAGUGAGUUGUAAGUUGUACGGAGUUGGUUUCAGCUUUUCCCUCACCGUGGCAGGAGUGUUACGAAACAGAUAAUCCGCUCAUCCAGCGCUUCUGCAUCCUCACCUUCAGCACAGGUUGUGAGAUAAAGCCCACGAGAACAGGUGUUUCUUAGAACUGUGGGUGGGAGUGGGAGGUGGGAGUAGCUCAGUCUGUCGGGACUUGGCUUUGGUUGUAGGCUCAAGUCUUUAUGAGGACCUAAAAAUGGAGGUUGGAUGGUUGCUGGAGAGGUGCCACUGAGGUGCCCUCAAGCAAGACACCAAACAAUGUGUGGUGCCCAUUUGUUUGCGGCCCAAACACUCUGGAAUCUCUCCAUUUGUGCACAUGAGAUCCUGUAUGUGCAUGUGUGUACAGUUCAGCCUUUGUGUGUUGAGUGUGAGUGUGAGUGUGAGUGUGUGUGCACUCAGUAACAGAGAGUAAAAAUUGAAUCGUCCUUUGAGAUUUGAUAGAGUUGGUCUUCUUUCUGUUUCUUUUGUUUUCAUUCUUAGUUUUUUCAUUCAGAGUGAAAAGGUUUGCUUCUAACUGUCAAUGCCAAAUGCUAAACAGAAUAAAUACAAAUGCCAUGAAAAACUGACUCCCAACAACCAAAACUAUAAGCUGAAUUGCCCGCAAACUUCUAAUGCUGAUCUGAAGAGACAGAAAUGUUUGAACCAAAUCAAGAAAUGUCUUGAAACAAGCGUGAUGUGUAAACAUGGUACAUGAUUAUAGUAUAUGGACAUGAUUUAUGAAUCUCUACAUUAGUAACUGAGGUCCACAAUCAAACACAACUUAGGCCCACAGAGUCCUUGACCCAAAUAUAUGAGAUAUUGGGACCCUGAGGGGCCGAGAGCCCGAACAAUGAAGUGGGUCAAUAAGCCCACUCCCACACACACGGUGUGUUCUUGUAAACCAGAUGGCCAAUUUAGUGUGAGCCAAAAGAAAAUUAAUCACAGCACAUUUAGUCCAGAGUCUGACAGAAUACAAUCACCGUGCACCGUGCAGAAUAAACCCCCUGCAGCCUCCCGCGGUGCACAGUCAGCGUGUCACAGGCAGCACACUCAGAGGAUGUAAACACACACACACACACACACACUGAAGUCCUCGGUAAAUCACAGGAGGAAAGACUUUCACUGUCAGUGCAGCACUACAGCGGUCAUUUAGGAGAGGAGUUAACAUGAUGUUUUUAAAAUGUGAAUGUGUGUCAGCCAUUUUUGAACAUGAGCUGCAUGUUUUCCUGUAUGAGUUUGUUACUUACUUGUGCAGACCGUGAAAGCAUCAAACAGAAAAAUGGCAGCUGCAAAAAACUGAAAAAAAUCAAAAAGUUAUUCUUCUAACAGUUUUUCCUUCUGCAUCACACAGGAACGACCACUCUGCAUGAAUUCUCUUGGCUGAAUAUUG
Molecule: long non-coding RNA, 5743 nt
Filed under: Xyrichtys novacula (pearly razorfish)
Lineage: Eukaryota; Metazoa; Chordata; Actinopteri; Labriformes; Labridae
Source: RNAcentral